This 382-nucleotide long non-coding RNA is filed under the name Equus asinus (donkey). Its description in RNAcentral is "lncRNA (ENSEASG00005032275.1)". The record is from RNAcentral. Lineage: Eukaryota; Metazoa; Chordata; Mammalia; Perissodactyla; Equidae.
GAAAGAUCCUUCAUUUUCAAUCCAUCAUGGCUGCCACUGAAAUGUCCGUUAUUAAGCCUGAGGAGAGGAUUCCCUGCCCAGCACAACAGGACUUCUGAGAGAUCCACACAGCUAUACAUCUGAAGGUGGCAGGACUGGAUACCGGGGAGGCAGUGAAACUAGCUUUUCCAGGGAUGUGACAACCUUCGGGAUAAAACCUCUCCUGAUAUCCGUCACCAGAGAAGAGAGAAAGGGAUGCUCUAUGGUCUCAAGGACUACAACUCCAGACGGUCAACAUCCCAAGAUCCGCCUUUUUCAGCCCAUUUGCCCUAUAAAGCUGCUUCAAAAUUUUGUAGUUUUAAGAUGGUUCUUUAGGACAUGAGUCCACCAUCUUCCCCUUUGC